Molecule: transfer RNA, 74 nt
Filed under: Bacteroidota bacterium
Lineage: Bacteria; Pseudomonadati; Bacteroidota
Also listed under: 2 other names
Description: tRNA-His
Rfam family: tRNA
About the family: Transfer RNA (tRNA) molecules are approximately 80 nucleotides in length. Their secondary structure includes four short double-helical elements and three loops (D, anti-codon, and T loops). Further hydrogen bonds mediate the characteristic L-shaped molecular structure. tRNAs have two regions of fundamental functional importance: the anti-codon, which is responsible for specific mRNA codon recognition, and the 3' end, to which the tRNAs corresponding amino acid is attached (by aminoacyl-tRNA synthetases). tRNAs cope with the degeneracy of the genetic code in two manners: having more than one tRNA (with a specific anti-codon) for a particular amino acid; and 'wobble' base-pairing, i.e. permitting non-standard base-pairing at the 3rd anti-codon position.
Source: RNAcentral
GUGACUAUAGCUCAGUUGGUUAGAGCGCUGGUUUGUGGUUCCAGAGGUCGCCGGUUCGAUUCCGGUUAGUCACC